Molecule: ribosomal RNA, 301 nt
Filed under: uncultured bacterium
Lineage: Bacteria
Description: partial 16S ribosomal RNA
Rfam family: Bacterial small subunit ribosomal RNA
Source: RNAcentral
CAGUAGCCGCGGUAAAACGUAGGUGGCAAGCGUUGUCCGGAAUUAUUGGGCGCAAAGGGCUCGCAGGCGGUUUCUUAAGUCUGAUGUGAAAGCCCCCGGCUCAACCGGGGAGGGUCAUUGGAAACUGGGAAACUUGAGUGCAGAAGAGGAGAGUGGAAUUCCACGUGUAGCGGUGAAAUGCGUAGAGAUGUGGAGGAACACCAGUGGCGAAGGCGACUCUCUGGUCUGUAACUGACGCUGAGGAGCGAAAGCGUGGGGAGCGAACAGGAUUAGAUACCCGCGUAGUCCCUGUCUCUUAUAC